UGAGUCGGCAGGGCGGCCGCGGCGGGUGACCGUCGAGGAAAGUCCGGACUCCACAGGGCAGGGUGGUUGUUAACGGCAACCAGGGGCGACCCUCGGGACAGUGCCACAGAAAACAGACCGCCCCGGCCCUACCAGGCCGGGGUAAGGGUGAAACGGUGGUGUAAGAGACCACCAGCGCCCCAGGUGACUGGGGCGGCUAGGUAAACCCCACCCGGAGCAAGGCCAGGAGGGCGCGCAAGCGUCUGCGCGAGCGUUCGAGGGCGGCCCGCCCGAUGCUCGCGGGUAGGCCGCUAGAGCCUGUCGGCAACGGCAGGCCCAGAUGGAUGGCCGCCGAUCGGGGCGUGAGCUCCGUGAACAGGAUCCGGCUUACAUGCCGGCUCAUCCG
This 385-nucleotide RNase P RNA is filed under the name Nocardia sp. NRRL S-836. Its description in RNAcentral is "Bacterial RNase P class A". It matches the Rfam family "Bacterial RNase P class A". Rfam says of the family: Ribonuclease P (RNase P) is a ubiquitous endoribonuclease, found in archaea, bacteria and eukarya as well as chloroplasts and mitochondria. Lineage: Bacteria; Bacillati; Actinomycetota; Actinomycetes; Mycobacteriales; Nocardiaceae. The record is from Rfam by way of RNAcentral.